RNAcentral lists this transfer RNA (78 nucleotides) under Idiurus macrotis (long-eared scaly-tailed flying squirrel). RNAcentral describes it as "tRNA-Lys". Lineage: Eukaryota; Metazoa; Chordata; Mammalia; Rodentia; Anomaluridae. The record is from RNAcentral.
CACUACUUUAACAGAAACAAGCCCUAAAUKAGCAUUAACCUUUUAAGUUAAAGACAGGGAGUGCACUCCCCAUAGUGA